RNAcentral lists this long non-coding RNA (283 nucleotides) under Gallus gallus (chicken). Lineage: Eukaryota; Metazoa; Chordata; Aves; Galliformes; Phasianidae. The record is from RNAcentral.
CUGACAGACAUGAUAUUUGUUACUGAGAGCAAUUCAAAAAAGGAAGCUUCUGUGUUUUGAUGACAAACAAGGAAAUACGAACAGAAAACACUUUGACAGAAAAACAAAAAGAGAAACAACAAAAAACCAACAACUACUGGAAGUAACAUUUUAUGUGACAACAGAUCUGACUGAAAUAGAAGAAACAAAAUAAAAGAAAUUGAAUUUAUUAAGUGAUUAUACUCUACUUGAAAGAUCUUGAAGAAAUGUAGUAAAAAAGUACAAUAAAGUUUGAAAUUGAAGC